RNAcentral lists this ribosomal RNA (468 nucleotides) under uncultured bacterium. RNAcentral's name for it is "partial 16S ribosomal RNA". It matches the Rfam family "Bacterial small subunit ribosomal RNA", at positions 28 to 507 of the family's 1533-position model. The record is from RNAcentral.
GAUGAACGCUGGCGGCGUGCUUAACACAUGCAAGUCGAACGGGAAGGCCCUGCUUUUGUGGGUUGCUCGAGUGGCGAACGGGUGAGUAACACGUGAGUAACCUGCCCUGUACUUUGGGACAACUUCAGGAAACUGGGGCUAAUACCGGAUAUGAGCUCCUGCUGCAUGGUGGGGGUUGGAAAGUUUCGGCGGAGGGGGAUGGACUCGCGGCUUAUCAUGUUGUUGGUGGGGUAGUGGCUCACCAAGACUUUGACGGGUAGCCGGCCUGAGAGGGUGAGCGGGCACACUGGGACUGAGAUACGGCCCAGACACUUACGGGAGGCAGAGGUGGGGAAUAUAGCACAAUGGGCGGAAGACUGAUGCAGAAACGCCGCGUGUGGGAUGACGGCCUUCGGGGUGUAAACCGCUUUCGCCUGUGACGAAGCAUGAGUGACGGUAAUGGGUAAAGAAGCACCGGCUAACUACGUG